UGGGAUAUGGUGUAAUGGUAGCACUACGGAUUUUGAUUCCGUCAGUUAGAGUUCGAAUCUCUAUAUCCCAG
This 71-nucleotide transfer RNA is filed under the name Vibrio phage nt-1. It matches the Rfam family "tRNA". Rfam says of the family: Transfer RNA (tRNA) molecules are approximately 80 nucleotides in length. The record is from Rfam by way of RNAcentral. Lineage: Duplodnaviria; Heunggongvirae; Uroviricota; Caudoviricetes; Pantevenvirales; Straboviridae.